UGCACUGUAUGGUAUCUGCAUCCAGCAGCCUUAUUUCUGAUGGCAUGUUCAAAAAGCAGUGCGACAUUAUCUCAGCAUGUGGCAUCGUUGGUUCUCAAGCUGCUGUGCUUGCUAAACCUGGUAUUUUUGUUGAAACAAGA
This is a small nucleolar RNA of Varanus komodoensis (Komodo dragon), 140 nucleotides long. NCBI's taxonomy places the organism in Eukaryota, Metazoa, Chordata, Lepidosauria, Squamata, Varanidae. The record is from Ensembl.